RNAcentral lists this ribosomal RNA (1969 nucleotides) under human gut metagenome. RNAcentral's name for it is "bacterial LSU rRNA". It matches the Rfam family "Bacterial large subunit ribosomal RNA", at positions 1 to 1983 of the family's 2925-position model. The record is from RNAcentral.
GUGAACAAUUAAGGGCGCGCGGUGGAUGCCUAGGCUCUCGGAGGCGAAGAAGGACGCGAUAAGCCGCGAUAGUCCACGGCGAGGUGCAAGUAACCCUUGACCCGUGGGUUUCCGAAUGGGGCAACCCGGCCGUCUAGAUGACGGUCAUGCAUUAUCAUGCAGGCGAACGCGGGGAACUGAAACAUCUCAUUACCCGCAGGAGAAGAAAACAAAAUGUGAUUCCCCCAGUAGUGGCGAGCGAACGGGGAAGAGCCCAAACCGGUAGCGUUUCGGCGAUACCGGGGUCAUGGGACCACGCCAUUCGAAACAAGAUGAAGUGCAAUUACCUGGAAAGGUAAGCCGCGGAGGGUGAUAGCCCCGUGCACGUCAAUUCUUGUGGAGAUAGUGGAAUCCCGAGUAGGGCGGGACACGAGAAAUCCUGCCUGAAUUCGCCAGGACCUCCUGGCAAGGCUAAAUACUCCCGAGAGACCGAUAGUGAACCAGUACCGCGAGGGAAAGGUGAAAAGUACCCCGAGCAGGGGGGUGAAAUAGACCCUGAACCCGCGCGCCUACAAGCGGUCGGAGCUGCCUUGUGCAGUGACGGCGUGCCUUUUGCAUAAUGAGCCUACGAGUUAGUCGUCACCAGCGAGGUUAAGGGCUUCAGGCCCGAUAGCCGAAGUGAAAGCGAGCCUUAACAGGGCGUAAAGUUGGUGGCGCUAGACGCGAAACCUUGUGAUCUACCCACGAGCAGGUUGAAGUCGCGGUAACACGUGAUGGAGGACCGAACCGGUAAACGUUGAAAAGUUUUCGGAUGACUCGCGGGUAGGGGUGAAAGGCCAAUCAAACUGGGAAAUAGCUCGUACUCUCCGAAAUGCAUUUCGGUGCAGCCUGUGAUGUUCUGUUCCAGAGGUAGAGCUACUGGUUGGACGCGAGGGCUUCACCGCCUAUCAAAUCCGGAUAAACUCCGAAUGCUGGAACACGAAAUCAUGGAGUGAGCCCGCGGGUGCUAAGGUCCGCGGACGAGAGGGAAAGAACCCGGACCACCGGCUAAGGUCCCGGAUGGACAGUUAAGUUGAUCAAACGAGGUGGGAUCGCGGAGACAGCUAGGAUGUUGGCUUGGAAGCAGCCAUUCAUUUAAAGAGUGCGUAACAGCUCACUAGUCGAGCGAUCCCGCGUGGAUAAUACACGGGCAUCAAACUGUCAACCGAAGCCGUGGGGUCAGCGAGAAGCUGACCGGUAGGAGAGCAUUCCUGCCAGCGUUGAAGGUCACCCGCGAGAGUGACUGGAGCGGCAUGAAAAGCAAAUGUAGGCAUAAGUAACGAUAAUGGGGGCGAGAACCCCCCACGCCGCAAGACCAAGGCUUCCCCGGCAAUGUCAAUCAGCCGGGGGUCAGCCGGCCUCUAAGGUUAACCCGAAGGGGGAUGCCGACGAGAAACGGGUUAACAUUCCCGUGCUUCUCGUCACCGUGACGCGGUGACGGGGUGAUGAAUGGACCGCGCGCUGACGGAAUAGCGCGUUGAAGGCCGUACCCUUCGAGGGUGGUAGUCAAGCACGCCACCCGAGGCGAUAGCCGAUAGUACCACGAGACUCCGGUCGAGUGGAUAGCGUCCAGGCAAUUUACCCCCGAGAAAACCCGCUAAACUUCAAGUGACGAGGAACCGUACUGUAAACGGACACACGUGGUCGGGUAGAACAUACCAAGGCGCUCGAGUGAUUCAUGGUCAAGGAACUAGGCAAAAUAGUCCUGUAACUUCGGGAAAAAGGACGCUCUAGUGAUAGAGCCGCAGAGUAAUGGCCCAGGCGACUGUUUACCAAAAACACAUGGCUAUGCCAAAUCGAAAGAUGACGUAUAUGGCCUGACACCUGCCCGGUGCCGGAAGGUUAAGAGGAGAGCUCAUCGGAAACGAGAAGGUUUGAAUUGAAGCCCCGGUAAACGGCGGCCGUAACUAUAACGGUCCUAAGGUAGCGAAAUUCCUUGUCGGGUAAGUUC